AAACUCCACAAUUAAGCGCGCUUGAGCCAGAGGCGUCUUGGGAUGGGUUACCACCUGGGAAGUCCUGGUUACCGGGUGCA
Molecule: non-coding RNA, 80 nt
Organism: Picea glauca (white spruce)
Lineage: Eukaryota; Viridiplantae; Streptophyta; Pinopsida; Pinales; Pinaceae
Source: Rfam